This 346-nucleotide ribosomal RNA is filed under the name uncultured eukaryote. RNAcentral describes it as "SSU rRNA". It matches the Rfam family "Eukaryotic small subunit ribosomal RNA", at positions 594 to 945 of the family's 1831-position model. The record is from RNAcentral.
GUAGCGUAUAUUAAAGUUGUUGCAGUUAAAAAGCUCGUAGUCGAACUUCGGAUCUGGCUGGAUGGUCCGCCUUACGGUGUGUACUGUCCGGCCGGAUCUUUCCUCUUGGUGAAGCCGUAUGCCCUUUACUGGGUGUGCGGUGGAACCAGGAAUUUUACUUUGAGAAAAUUAGAGUGUUCAAAGCAGGCAUACGCCCGAAUACAUUAGCAUGGAAUAAUAGAAUAGGACGUGCGGUUCUAUUUUGUUGGUUUCUAGAGUCGCCGUAAUGAUUAAUAGGGAUAGUUGGGGGCAUUAGUAUUCAGUUGCUAGAGGUGAAAUUCUUGGAUUUACUGAAGACGAACUUAUG